Macrobrachium nipponense is the source of this 640-nucleotide long non-coding RNA. RefSeq lists it as uncharacterized. The transcript has 2 exons. The record is from RefSeq and is a predicted model, not a curated record. NCBI's taxonomy places the organism in Eukaryota, Metazoa, Arthropoda, Malacostraca, Decapoda, Palaemonidae.
AACAACCACUCCACCAGGGACAAGAACACCCGAUUGGUAUGAAACAACCACUCCACCAGGGACAAGAACACCCGAUUGGUAUGAAACAACCACUCCACCAGGGACAAGAACACCCGAUUGGUAUGAAACAACCACUCCACCGGGGACAAGAACACCCGAUUGGUAUGAAACAACCACUCCACCAGGGACAAGAACACCCGACUGGUAUGAAACAACCACUCCACCAGGGACAAGAACACCUGAUUGGUAUGAAACAACUCAACUGAAGACCUGCAGCGUCGAUGCAGGUCGAGUGGUGGGGUCCUCAGGUGCAAUAGGAGUAGGAUCCCCGUAUGCAUAUUACGGCAAUAAUGAAAACUGUGUGUGGGAGAUCGAGGUGCCCCAGGGGUCCUUCAUACAAUUCACAUGGGACUACUUUAGCCUGGAGGGUUCCAGACCCUGGUGUGGAUGCGACCACGUCGAUAUCUCGGACUAUGCAACUGGACAGAGCUUGACGUAAGGCAAUCGGGGUAUUUAAGUAGAUACACUGAUAUCUAAAAUAAAAAAAAAAUAAAAAAAUCUUAAUCUUACUGUCAAUAUAUAUGGAAAACAUCUGAUUAAAACAAAAUAAAAACAAAGCCACACGAAAAGUAAAAAAAAA